CCCGCUGAACUUAAGCAUAUCAAUAAGCGGAGGAAAAAAAACUAACAAGGAUUCCCUUAGUAACGGCGAGUGAACCGGGAAGAGCUCAAAUUUGAAAUCUGGCGUCCUCUGGGCGUCCGAGUUGUAACCUGUAGAAGCGUUUUCUGUGCCGGACCGUGUCCAAGUCCCUUGGAACAGGGUAUCAAAGAGGGUGACAAUCCCGUGCUUGACAUGACGACCGGUGCUAUGUGAUACGCUCUCCAUGAGUCGAGUUGUUUGGGAAUGCAGCUCAAAAUGGGUGGUAAAUUCCAUCUAAAGCUAAAUAUUGGCGAGAGACCGAUAGCGAACAAGUACCGUGAGGGAAAGAUGAAAAGCACUUUGGAAAGAGAGUUAAACAGUACGUGAAAUUGUUGAAAGGGAAACGAUUGAAGUCAGUCGUGUCUGGGGGGUUCAGCCGGUUCUGCCGGUGCAUUCCCCUCGGAUGGGUCAACAUCGGUUUUGGCCGACAGAUAAUGGCAGGGGGAAGGUGGCACCCUUGGGUGUGUUAUAGCCCUCUGUCGGAUACGUCGGCUGAGACCGAGGAACGCAGCUCGCCUUCAUGGCCGGGGUUCGCCCACGUCCGAGCUUAGGAUGUUGACAAAAUGGCUUUAAACGACCCGUCUUGAAACACGG
Molecule: ribosomal RNA, 651 nt
Filed under: uncultured fungus
Lineage: Eukaryota; Fungi
Description: eukaryotic LSU rRNA
Rfam family: Eukaryotic large subunit ribosomal RNA
Source: RNAcentral